GUGCUCUCUUCUGCAGCACAUACCGUAUACUAAAACUAGAACGAUACAAGGAUGGCCCCUGCGCAAUGUUGACACGAAAGUUGUGAAGCGUUCCCUAUUUUA
RNAcentral lists this small nuclear RNA (102 nucleotides) under Heterocephalus glaber (naked mole-rat). The record is from RNAcentral. Lineage: Eukaryota; Metazoa; Chordata; Mammalia; Rodentia; Bathyergidae.